RNAcentral lists this long non-coding RNA (17105 nucleotides) under Capsicum annuum. Its description in RNAcentral is "long non-coding RNA (CANN_LNC006279)". The record is from RNAcentral. Lineage: Eukaryota; Viridiplantae; Streptophyta; Magnoliopsida; Solanales; Solanaceae.
UUAAUCUGAUUUGGUAUGGUAAAUUCAAGCCAUCCCAAAGAGCUAUUGUAUCCGAUUUCAUCACCUCCCUUUCUACUUCGACUCCGUCUAAUGCCCAUCCUUCUGUUGCCCAAUGGUGGAAGACCACUGAAAAAUACUACCAUCUUGCCAACUCUAAGAACACCCUUUCCCUCUCUUUGGGCAAACAAGUGCUCCUAGAAAAUUAUUCCCUAGGAAAAUCAUUGACUCAGAAGCAAAUCGUUCAAUUGGCAUCAAAGGGUGAACAAAGAAAUGCUAUUAACGUUGUAUUGACAGCUUCCGAUGUUGCUGUUGAUGGGUUCUGCGUCAAUCGUUGUGGAACUCAUGGGUCGUCUAAAGGUGCUGUUAUUAAGGGCAAGACUUACAAAUUUGCUUAUAUUUGGGUUGGUAACUCAGAGACCCUAUGUCCUGGCUACUGCGCCUGGCCAUUCCACCAGCCCAUCUACGGACCACAGAGCGCACCACUGGGUGCGCCAAACAAUGAUGUGGGUGUUGAUGGUAUGGUGAUCAAUUUGGCUAGCUUAUUAGCUGGAACUGCCACGAACCCAUUUGGAAAUGGGUACUACCAGGGCGAAGCAGACGCGCCAUUGGAGGCUGCAUCUGCUUGCCCCGGUGUCUAUGCCAAGGGCGCUUUCCCCGGCUACGCCGGAGAUUUAUUGGUGGACAAGACUACAGGUGCAAGCUACAAUGCACACGGUACCAACGGAAGAAAGUACUUGGUUCCAGCUUUAUAUGAUCCUUCAACAUCUUCAUGCUCCACUUUGGUCUAGAGAGAACCAUUAUUUACAAAAUAGGAUACAAUAUAUAUAGUUGAGCAUAGAGUUGUAAGAUCAAUUUGUUGAUUCAUUCAUUUGUUUAAGAUAUGAUAAAUUGAUAAUAUACGAGAAAAUUAUUUUGCUAUGUCUAUAUUACCUUCUAAUUUCAUUUUCCUUGUUCACUUGAUUUAGGAAUUCUUUACUCUUCAAACAAAGACGUACAAUUAAUGCAACUCAACAUUAUUUGGGUAAUUCAGAUAAUUAGCGAUGUUCAGUUAGGCUUUAUUAGAUUAAAUGUUUUAUUCUAGGAUUUGGAAGAAUAUAUGUCGCAAGGCAUAAACAUGGACAAGCCAAUAAUUUUGUGGGCUCUUUUUCAACAGGGCAGAUGCAGAACUAAAUCUUCCAAGUGACUUAACAAACUAUAUGGAUCAACACAAAUAGCAUAAGACGAGGUUAAAUAGACUAGAGAUCAUUAGGCAUCCAACUUCUAUUAGUUUCUUCUUUCGUAGGGCUUGGAUGUCUUGACCAGUUGACAACCAUUAUAGGAAUUCAUGGUUAUUAGACUAAAAAAUGCACAAUGAUGAACAAGCUGGAAGGAAUGUUAUGUGGUAGUAAAUGCUAAUACUAAUUUAAGAUCCACCCAAAACACAAAUUUUCUUUUACUAUUCAGUAAUAUUAAAAGUAAAAUUUUCCGUAAACUGAAUUAGUUUGGUGUUUAUAGCAUAUGAGAUAUAAUUUACUAUUGGUGGGUGUUAGAGUGCGUGCUCUACUGAUUUUAAUAUUAUACUCUACUGAUUGCCUAGCUGUGGAACAAGUAAGCUAACGUGGUUCACAGAAGUAAAACUUGAACACAGUAUUUUUACAUGGAAAACACCCGGCUCAAGAAAGGUGUAAAAAACCACGACCCGUACCUCUACAGGAUUUAACCCCAACUUCACUAUUACUCUUGAGCCUCAACAAUCAAUCAAUUACAAGACUUCUUGUAAACAAGGAAUUAAAAUUUCUAACUCCUACUUCUACAAAAACACAAAUCUUCCCAAGAUAAGUGUUCCCAAGUCUUCGAGUUCCCCAACUUGAAGACGUUAAUCCUAACUCAGUUUAUACUCCACUGAGACUAGAGAUUACAACUCAAUAUGACUCAACUACCAACCUAUUACAAAAAGUCUAAGACUCUAAGUGAAGAACCAGGUUGUUCCAAUAGCUCCUUCAAGUUGUAGAACUAAUUUUCUAAUUGCUGACUAUCUUUUUCAGUGCAUGAGUGAAACAAUUGAAUGUCGUUUGUUGUAUUUAAGCUAACUCCUGAUUGAGUCCUUUAGUUGAUGUACUCUUCUAUCUUCAAUAGGACUCCCAGGUCAUUCUUCAUUGCGGCCGUGUCUCUCUCCUUGAUUGAAUAGGACUCUUCUCCUUUGUCCCUUAGUUUUGCAGGACUUUUUGAUCAACUCAACUUCUAGAUGUUGUACUUAUCUUCUCCUUUGCAUCUACUUAGCUGAUGUGAUAAGUGUUGAGAGCAUGUCUGAAAGUUCUUACUUAUCCACUCUUGUUUUUACACAGUGUCAUCUUAUCAAUAGUACUCUUGCCUGUGACUCUUCUUUCUUCACUUGUGUGGAACAGCUUGCACAACAUAUUUCAUUCAUAUGUCCAACAUCAAAACUUUACAUUCCUCAACAAAUUCCCCUUUUUGAUGAUGACAAACUUAGCUUCACAACAUCCAUUUCAAAAUCCUGAAAUACUCAAUAAAAGAUUAAAAUAGAAGAUCACAAAAUGAAACAGGUUAGUCAUUGAGUUAUAAGCAUUGCAUAAUCUAUUCUUCCCCCUUUUGGCAUCAUCGAAAAGAUGGCCCAACAAGUGAAAACUGUUUAAUAAUUCAUGGUCACUAAGGCUAUCACUAAAACAAUCAAAACUCAGAGCAAGAGAACAACUACGCAUUAUGAAAAAGCAGAAGCAGAUCAUAUUAAACAAAAUGGUCCAUUUCAUUCACAAAACAAGAUGCAAUUAUCAUUACCCAGAAACAGAAAAAAGAGAAAUAACAGGGACCAAGAAAAACAAGAAAAAUAUUCCUACGGCAUUACGAAGGAGCUAAGUGGAUGAGGAAGAGGGGAUAAGGAAUGUCAACUUUCAAACAAUAUCAAUAUUUUCAGAUCUUUCACGAUCCAAGGAGGCUGUCAGUGAGGCAAUCUGAGCAUGGAGAAUCCUCUUUUUAUCCUUAUGAGCAGCUUGAGCAGCCUCCAGUGCAGCCUGAGCAACCUCCACCUCAGCCUGUUUUGCAGCAAGUGCAUUCCUUAAUCUUUGGACAGGGUUGUCAACACUCCUCAUGAAAGUAGGUAACAUUGUAUGGCUCACAGACCCUAUGACAUCCUUCGUGGUUUGCAGAGACCAUACUUUGACUGGUAUAUGAAAAUCCUCAAAAACAUAUGCAAACUAAAAUUUAUAUAGCAAAGCAUGACCAUUUGCUUCUUGAAGUAAGACCCUCUGUAUGUGCUUAAUCAUGAGUCGAGGAAGGUCUAUUGGAAUUUCAGUAUCUAACAGUUCCAUCAGAGUAAGAUCAAGAAAAUUGGCAACUGUUCUUCUUUCUUAUCUAGGAAGGAUCAUUUUGUGAACCACAUCAAAAUAAAACUAAUAAAAAGGGGACAUCUCACGCUUUAAGACCCUGCGAUGAGUGACAAGAUGAGGAUUUCUAGAGAACUUUCUGCAUGUCUCAAGAGCAGAUGGAAGAUUAUCGAGAGGGGGCCAGGUUACCUUGGCAUAGUGACCCGAACCCCCAGUAGGAAUGCUCAAGAUUCAAGCAGGAUCAGCAUCAUAAAGAUUAAUAGUAACCCCAUGAACAGUGGUCGAAAAUAUCUCCCCAAUGGCAACUCCAUUAGUAUAAAACUCAUAUACUUCAUCCUUUCCAAACCUACGUUGAUGGUCACCUUAAAGAAGCAAGUGUGACCACCCCUGAUCUUGCAAUUUUGAAACCAAGAUAUCCAUUUCAGGGCCUCCAAAACUAGUGACAACUCAUCCCCUAGCUAAGUUACGUUUUUGAAAGUGGAGAAUAUGGGCUGACUAAGAAGUUUUGUCAUCAACAGAAGUAUCAAUAUCAAAAUUAAAAUCAAAAUCAGGAUCACUCUUAGUAGAGGGUGUGGGGGGAGUAUCAGGGAGAAAAUCAGAGUCGGCGGAGCUGGAGGAAACAGGCGCCUUAACCUGUUUCUUUGACUUAGAAGCGAUCUUCUUUGCAGGGGAUUUAGAAGAAGAGGAAGAUUUGGAAGUAAGAGAAAUUUUGGACGAUGAAGAAGCUUUUGGGUUAGACUAAGAUAAUGGUUUACCAGAAGAGGAGAUUUUUGGAGCUUUGCCAAUUAUCGUCUUCUUCUUACGUACUGAGCGAAGAAGAGUGUCAGGAGAAGAAACACUAGGAAGUGGAGAAGCAGAAGUAGCUACACGUUUCCUUUUACUUGCCUUAAGUGCUUCUGCCAAGGAAGCAUCUUCUCGUUGCUUUUUACCUCGUGUAUGAGGAUUUCGGGGAGAAGGGACAACAAAAAAGGCUUUACUGAAGCAUUGUCCUGAACAUUGAUGGUGAUGGAAGAGGGUUUUUGUUUUGGUUUAGAUCUGGACGUUCAAGGGAUUAGGUCAGCAAUAGGAACUCAUCUUGAUCAAGAAUCUGAAGAGGAAUUGGAGGUGGUAGUGAGGGUUCAGAAGAUGGUGAGGGGUUGGAAGAAAAUUGGCAAAAAGGUUUUGUAGAUUCUUGAAUAUUGCAAACUCGAAGAAUUUGAUUGAAAUUAGAAGAGGAAUGAGUGGGGGUAAGGUAAUAUCGGGAUAAAGUAUAAUGGCAGAGGAAGGAUCAUAGCAGAUUCUAAGGAAGAAGAGGAUGAGAAAAAUGCCAUUGAAGAAGAAACAGAAAGUUUGUUGUGGUUGUGUAGAAGUUGAAGAGAAUGAAUAGUAAGGAAAGAGGAGAACCAUAUUUAAGAAGGAAAGAGAGAAGAUGAAGCGUGGGUGAAGUGUAUUUGGUGAAGAAACAUAAUGAUUAGGUGGUUCAGUUCUGAUGGAAAAGGUCUGGUAGUUUUUGAAGGAGAAGGACUUUUGGGUUUUGGCGGUUUAAGUGUAAUGGAAAGAACCAUGUAGACAAACUGUUUCUCUUUAUGCUACUAUGGGCAAGCAAUAAUCAUACUUGAAUUCUGAAGAAAAAAUGGACAAAAUUGCCUUGAUGUUUCAGUCUUUCUGUAAAAUCAACACAUAGCUGAGUAAAUUUACUCUAAAAUUUUGGAAUUAGGAUACACAACUAAAUGUGUAACACUGAAUUAAUCAACAAUCACUUGAGAACAACUUAUUCUAGUCAAUCAUUCAGGGAGAUUUAUACAAUUUUAAUCAUCCCCAAGGCUAACCUAUUAUUUUUAAAGUGUUCUCUACUCAAAGACUUAGUGAAUAUGUUAAUAAUUUGUUCCUCAGUAGAACAAACAUAAAUGAUAUAUGUCCUUUUUCAACAUUAUCUCUAAGAAAGUGAUGUCUAAUAUCAAUAUGCUUAGUUCUUUUUUGUUGAACAGAAUUUUUGGCUAUUUUAAUGGCACUUGUAUUAUCACAAAAAAUAGGAACACAUCCAAUAUCUAUACCAAAAUCCAUAAAUUAUUGCUUAAUCCAUAACAAUUGAGCACAACAAGAUCCUGCAGCAACAUAUUCAGCUUCAGCAGUAGACAAGGCUACUGAAUUUUGCCUCUUAGUGGACUAGGUAAUCAAACAUGAUCCAAGGAAGUGUGCCAUGCCUGUGGUGCUCUUCCUGUCAACCAAGUAUCCUGCAUAGUUAGCAUCAUAAUAUCCAACCAAGUUGAAAUUACUAUCUUUUGGGUACCAUAAAUCAAGAUCGCUGGUUCCUUUGAGAUAUCUAAAGAUCCUUUUUACAAAUUUUAGAUGAGACUAUUUAGGAUUUUCUUGAAAUCUUGCACAUAAUCCUACACUAAAUACAAUAUCUGGCCUGAUUGUUGUUAGAUAUAGCAAUGACCCUAUCAUCCCUCUGUACAUCUUCUGGUCUACAUCAGGACCUGUUUCAUCUAAAUCAUGCCUUGUAGCUGUGGCUAUUAGAAUGCUGAUCUCUUUUGCCUCUUCCAUGGAGAAUUUUUUGAGAUGUUCUUUUACAUACUUCUGCUGAUGGAUCAUUAUUCUAGAUGUUGUUCGUUUGAUUUGCAAUUCCAAGAAGUAAUUUAGCUCCCCUAUCAUGCUCAUCUCAAAUUCGCAACUCAUGAGUUUAGCAAAAUCAUGAGUCAUAUUCAUAUUUGUGGAGCCAAAAAUGAUGUCAUCAUCAUAUACCUGCACAACUAACAGAUCUUUUCCAUUAGUUUUCAAUAAGAGAGUGUUGUCAAUUUUACCUCUAGUAUGGCCAUGCUCCAGUAAAACUUUUGACAAGCUCUCGUACCAAGCUCUUGGAGCUUGUUUCAAUCCAUACAAAGCUUUAUCCAGUUUAUACACAUGAUCAGGAAACUUCUUUCUUUCAAAUCUUGGAGGUUGUUUAACAUAUACCUGCUCUUUGAAAAUGUCAAUUAAGAAUGUACUCUUAACAUCCAUUUGAUAUAAAUGAACUCCAUAUAGGCAGCAAAUGCAACAAGUAAUCUAAUAGCUUCAAUUCUGGCUACAGGAGCAAAAGUUUCAUCAAAAUCUAUGCCUUCUUCUUGAUUAUAUACUUGGACCACCAAUCUUGCCUUAUUUCUUGUAACUGUUCCAUGCUCAUCAACUUUAUUUCUGUACACCCACUUAGUCCCAAUUACUGUUUUAUUUUUUGGGAGAGGAACUAAGUGUCAUACUUUGCUUCUCUCAAACUGAUUUAACUCUUCCUGCAUGGCUAUGAUCCAAUCUGCAUCAAACAACACUUCAGUUACCCUUUUUGGCUCAAUCUCUGAUAAGAAAGCCUUGAAGGAACAUAUACUUCAUAAUCCAGACCUUGGAGUGAUCCCAAAAAAUGAGAUCAGUGAGAACGUUCUCAAUAGGAUGUGAUCCUUGAUACUUAUAACCUUUUGGGACCAAGCCUAGUGAACUACUAGGAUCACUACUGAGUUCCCCUUGUCACUGUGCCUCUAGAUUCAGUUCCUUCUGUUGAGGUGCCUCCUUGUUUGGUAGCUUCAGUCGAUGAACCGGGUUGUGUAAUCUGUUCCUCAGAGUCACUUCCUCCUAUAGGUUAGUCUUAACACAGGAUUCAUAAAAAACUACAUGCAUGCUUUCUUCAACACAGUUAGUUUUGAUGUUUAGAACCCUAUAAGCCUUACUAUGAAGUGAAUAACCUAAUAAGAUUCCCUCAUCACUUUUAGUAUCAAAUUUUCCCAGAUUAUCCUUUCCAUUAUUAAAAUGAGAAAUGUUUGACUUUCUUUCUUUUAGUAAUUCAUUGGGAAUCUUCUCUAACAUAGGUCUGAUCAUGCAUCUAUUUAUGAUAUAUGCUGUAGUACUUAUUGCUUCAGCCCAAAGUUUUAAGCAAUAUUUACUGCAAGCAUUAUUAUUCUAGUCAUAUCUUCCAAGGUUCUAUUCUUUCUUUCCACCACUCCAUUUUGUUGUGGUGUUCUAGGACUCUUCUCCUCUAUCCCUUAGUCUCGCAGGACUUUUUGAUCAACGCAACUUCUAGAUGCUACACUUAUCUUCUCUUUUGCAUUUACUUAGCUGAUGUGAUAAGUGUUGAGAGUAUGUCUGAAAGUUCUUACUUAUCCACUCCUGUUUUUACGCAGUGUCAUUUUAUUAAUAGUCUUGCCUGUGACCCUUCUUUCUUCACUUGUAUGUAACAGCUUGCACAACACACUAUUAUUUAUGAUUUGAAGGUGCAGUAUUUUCUGUCUUCCCUAUGUUGGAGAUUGAUUUUAUUUUCUGAUUUGAGUCAUUGGACAAAUUUCAUUUCUAUUGAUGUAUUGGGCUUGACCCGUUUAUUUUAUUGUCCAUUUUAUUAUGACCCGGUCCAUAUUACAACGUAUAUACAUAGAGUGAGUGAGAUAUUUUACAGAAUAUAAUUCAUUUUCCCUCUUUUCUAAUAAUAAGAAAAGCUCAUGCUUCUCUCUUUUUUCUCUCUCUAGAAUGUUCUAUUGAUUUCUACUGUUCUUCAUCGUUUUCUUUGAUCUCCAUCUUCUCCGUCGAAUAUUAACAUGGUAUCAGAGCCAGAAAUUGGUAGAUCCGUUGGAUCUAAAUUUUCGUAUGAUUUCUACUAGUUCAGGUGUUGUUCGAAUUCUAGUAUUUGAUUAGUAGUCGACUAGACUCUUCAUUUUUGCCUACGCAGAGAUAUACGGAGGCGGCUCAGUGCUUUUUUCACCAUUUUUGAGGUUUUUUUUGGCUUGCAAUAGUGUCUGGGAUUUUUUCAUCAUUUUUCGCUUUUGUGUUUCAUUGAUUUUCUAUUUGAGGACAUUCUUCUGGUAGAUACUGCUGUCAUACUAUAGAUUUGUUGUAUUCCUCAUUGAAUUUGCUCUUGUAUUGGUUUUGUGUUGAAUAUUUGGUCAUAUAAUGGAAGGAAUGCCAAAUUUCUCUUCCCCUAGCAGUUCUACUACUGCAUUACCUAGAAUCGAAUUUCACAAGGAAGAUUUCAGUCAUCCUUGUCACCCUCUAAAUGUACAUCCAUCUGAUAUGUUGGAAGGGUCACUGGUUACUGUUCCCUUUGAUGGAACUGGGUAUGCUAGCUGGAGACGCACCAUUUUGGUAACUCUCUCUGUUCGUAGCAAUUGGACUUUAUUAAUGGUAGCACUAUUCGUCCCCCUUCUGAUUCUCUUUUAGCUAGGCAAUAGAAAAGAUGUAGUAACCUAGUUCUGUCUUGGCUCCUUAAUUCAUUAAGUCAGGAAAUUAGUAGAAGUGUAGGUAUUCUGAACUCCCGAGUGAGGUAUGCAAUGAACUUAAGGAUAGGUAUGGGAAAGUGAAUGGUACAAGGCUAUUUGUUCUAAGAAAGGAACUUGCCCACAUUUCUCAGGGUUUCCUAGACAUUUCUUUUUAUUUUAGUCGUAUUAAAAAACUUUGGGAUAAGAUAUCUUCCAUCUUCACCAAACAUCCCAAAUCUUGUACUUGUGGAGCUAGAGCCUUGUAUUAACAUGAUGAGGAUGAGCAAAAAUUAUACCAAUUUUUGUAUGGCUAAAUGAAACAUAUGCCCAGGUAAGGAUUCAUAUGCUCGUCAUGAAGCCUCUACUCUUUGUUGGUACAACAUAUGGUCUACUAUUAAAUGAUGAGAGGCAAAGACAAGUGUCCAAUUCCUCGUCAAUGUCAUUUCCUUCUGGAUCUUCUUCUUUUAAUGCUGGAGUUGUCAGACACAACUCCAUUUUUCCUUCAAGGGUAAACUUUGAGAUUAAUCCCACUAAAUCCAGCAACCUGGUUUGCAAAUAUUGUAAGAAGUCAGGUCAUCGCAUUGAUAAAUGCUAUAAACUACAUGGGUUCCCACCUGNNNNNNNNNNNNNNNNNNNNNNNNNNNNNNNNNNNNNNNNNNNNNNNNNNNNNNNNNNNNNNNNNNNNNNNNNNNNNNNNNNNNNNNNNNNNNNNNNNNNNNNNNNNNNNNNNNNNNNNNNNNNNNNNNNNNNNNNNNNNNNNNNNNNNNNNNNNNNNNNNNNNNNNNNNNNNNNNNNNNNNNNNNNNNNNNNNNNNNNNNNNNNNNNNNNNNNNNNNNNNNNNNNNNNNNNNNNNNNNNNNNNNNNNNNNNNNNNNNNNNNNNNNNNNNNNNNNNNNNNNNNNNNNNNNNNNNNNNNNNNNNNNNCAAGUAGAUAAAUUUCUAUGGAUUGUAGAUUCUUGGGCUUCUGACCAUGUGACAUCCCAUAAAGAAUUACUCUUUGAUAUUCAGACCUUGCCUUUUUCUGUUCUUGUUUCACUUUUAAAUGGUUACAAAUUUAAGGUCACAAAUAAAGGGUCCUUGAAUUUUUUCCCUCAUAUCACUCUACACAAUGUGCUUUAUGUCCCUACUUUCCAAUACAACUUAAUCUCUAUCCACAAAUUAUUAGAACAGAUGAAUAAGGUUAUUUACUUUAUCAAAACUUUAUGUGUUUUUGGGCCCUUUUUAGAUGAUGCCUCUGGUUCUUGGUAAGGUAGAUAAUGGCAUAUACAAAGUGCUCUUGUCAUUUAGUGCUGCUGGGAGUUGUCUUUCACAUUCUACUUCUCAUAUUCGUAGUUGUUGUACCUCUGAUAUAUUUGCACCUCGUAAUUCUUUUUGUAUUUUUACUGUAAAUAUUACAAAUCAUGUAUCUGUUAUGGAGAAUUCCAUGAAUAAAAUAGAUGUUGUUUGGCAUUACAGACUUGAUCACAUUCCCAUCUAAAAAAUGAAACACAUUCCAGAUGUGCAACCUUUUGUCAGUCAGAAACAGUCUUUCCCUUGUCCUAUCUGUCAAUUAGCUAGACAAACAAGACUUCUCUUUCCUUAUAGUUCCAUUAAGUCCACUUCACCCUUCCAAUUACUUUAUAUUGAUACCUGGGGUCCAAUCACUCUCCCACAUAUGAUGGGGCUAGAUAUUUUCUAACCAUUGUUAAUGAUUUCUCUAGAGCUACCUGGACCCAUCUAAUAGGAGAAAAAAGCAAUGCUUUUGAUCUCUUAAAAGCCUUUAUCAGUAUGAUAGAAACUCAGUUUGGUUCAAAAGUACUUUCCAUCAGGAGUUACAAUGCUCUUGAAUUGGGAUCUAGCACGGCUGGUUCUGUUUUGUUUUCAUCCAAAGGUAUUAUUCAUCAAAACUCAUGUCCACAUACUCCAUAAGAAAAUGGGGUAGUGGAAAGAAAACAUAGGCAUUUACUUGAAACUACUAGAGCCUUAUUGUUUCAGUCCUCUGUACCUAUCAAUUUUGGGGUGAUUGUGUGUUGACUGCCAUAUAUCUAAUUAAUAGGUUCCCUUCUCCCUUACUGAACAAUAAAAGUCCCUUUGAGGUCCUAUAUUCCAAACCUUCCACUUACCCUCAUCUCAAAUCCUUUUGGUGCUUGUGUUUUUCCACUAUCACCAUUCCACACUAGGAUAAAUUUUCCCCUAAUGUUGUUCCUUGUGUGUUUUUAGGAUAUCCUUUUGGCAAAAAAGGUUACAAAUUAUAUAGUCUUGACUCAAAGUCUUGUUUUGUGUCCAGAUAUUCCAUUUUCCAUGAACAUAUUUUCCCCUUUCCUUCCUCUCUACAUUUUCCACUCCCUGUCCUCCUACUUUUCCUUUCUCCUUUGAUGGCUCUAUUUCUACCAUAUUUUAUCUUCCAUCUGUAACUCCUGAGGGUUCAUCUAUACCUGAACCUGCUGGGAUUGCUUCUCCCCCUUCUUUUUCUCCAUCUUUUACUCCUGAUGAUCAUGUUUUUCCACUUGUUUCUUUCAUUUCUUCUUUACUUCCUUUGAGACACUCUACAAGAUCCCAUUCCAUUCCUAAAUACCUUCAUGACUAAUCCAUUCCCACUUAUCUUAGGCAUACUGCUAGUUAGUGUAGCACCCCGAAUCUGGUACCUGGAAUGAUAUAAGAUACUCUGACCUCGAAGGACCAUAAGCUAACCCAUGACUGAUAUUUGUACCUGAACACUACAUAAUAUACUGUAUAAAUACAGAAAUAAAGGUUGUAAGGCCAUAAGGUUCAAAACUGAUAAAAUAAUCUCUGAAUGAUAUGACAUCACAAUACCAAAACAAAACCUUAAAUAAACUAUCUGAACAUGAUCGUUUAAAAAGCGUCUAACUGACUGAACUGUCUGAAUAAGGAGUUGAUGGGACAUGUCCACAACUAACUCCAACUACUAAAAUAAAUUAAUUAAUGAGAUAAUAAAUUUAUGAUCAUAUCCUCGAAGGAUGAGGACUUGUUGCUAACUCUGAUUGCUGAGACUGGAAUACUACUGAUGCUCUGGAGGUCGUGCUUCUGAACCUAUGGUAUAUAACACCAUAGCGCAAAUGCGUUAGUACAUUUGAAUGUACUGGUAUGCAUGUGAGGUAGGCUGAAUGCAAAAGGGUUCACAUGCAUGAACUAUACUAACUGACUGAAUAACAUGAGCGUGAGAAUAAAUGCAUGAAUGUAUAAAAACUGUAACUGAGUUCGUGAUAACAUAAUUACUGAGUCUGAGUACUGAUUACAUGAGAUAUUUAUAACUGUAUAACUAAAAUAACUAAUACCGAGCGAUUGUAUCUGACAGUCUAGUUUCUGAUGGAACUAGCUGAGUUCCAUUCUAUUCUGGGUUGACUGUAUCUGACAGUCCUGAAUUAUCUAGAACUAUCUGAGUUCUAUUACUAAGACUGAAUAACUGUAUCUGACAGUCCUGGUUCUAUAACUGAAACUGUGGGAAGUAGUUAUCUAAUCGAAAUGUCCCAAAUAACAUAAUAUAGCUGAGUUGGGGUCCAAUCUGUAACCCCAAUUGGAAAGGUGUCAAUACCGCGCCACUGGUACGGAUAAUCUGUGAGUAACCCCCAUAUAACAGGUAACUCUAGUGAGAACGGUGGGAACUCUCAUAUAACAGGUUAAGCCACCUCAUCUAACCUCAUAUAAUAGGCUUUGAUGUCUCAAUCUACGCUGGCUACGUAGUUCUGGACCAGACGCAAGGAUUGCUUCUAAGAAUCACACCCUCAUAUAACAGGUGGGUACCUAUCUUUGGGUUCGCUUGGUGCUAAUUUAUACUCCCAUCUGGAUAGACACUGAACAUGAUUAACUGAACUGACUGGACUGAGUUAACCAAGUUUUGUUGACUGAUGGAAUACUACUGAGAUUACUGAGUUUUCCUGAGUCAUGAGACUGACUGAAUUCUAUAUAUCAUGGAUUGACUGAGAGUAUCUUGAAAACAUGACACUGAUUCUAGGCACACAACUAAAUUUUUAGGUACAGGUACCCCCAGGACUUGAUGGGAAGAAACUGACAAAGAAUGACUUUGUUGAAUAAAUGACCACAUCAACAAUCCAUAAUAUAAUAAAUUAGAGAAUUCAUGAAGUGCAAGUUCUAAAGCACCACAAUGGCCACACAUAUAUCCAUAACUCAUUGACUAAGGCAUUUCAUCAGACACUUGACAUGCAUGAACUUGUACAUGAAUGGGGAUUUCAUAAUAUUAUACUAGUAUGACAGUUUUCCUUCACAUAGGCAUUUAAUCAAACACAUAGGGAACAUGCUUUGGUUAUACAAUCAUCAACACAUCUAAUAAUCAUGGAUACAUCAAUCAACUUGUAAAUUGAAGGGGUUUAUUAUGGUUAUUAUGCAAAUCUUCUUAUACUAGGGUCAAUCAUUAAAAAAAUAUAAUUUAAAACAUGAAUCAAAAUCCUACAACAUCAUGAACAUAAAUUUCAAUUCUGUUUAAAUCAAGAACAUUCAUAAAUACACAAAUCUUUUAUUUUGAAAAGAGAUUCUUAAGCUUCAUGGGUGAAAGGGACCCAUGAAUCAAUACAUGACAUACCUGGAUUGUGAGUUUCUUGAAGUUCUUGGACUUGAAGAACCUGAAUUUCUUAGUUUCUUGAAGAAGGAUUUGGAUUUUUGAGAGAAAACCCUAAUUUGAUGUUGUAGAUGGAUAAUGAACUUAUGAGCCUUAAUCUGAUAUAAUUAGAGGUUAAAACGGGUUGAAAAGACCUAAAUACCCUAUUAAAAAUGACUUUAAAAUUACUGAACGAACUAUGUGAUGGUGGGUGCGACGGUCCGUCGCUGGGUCGACGGUUCAUCGGUCCUGAUCAUCGCAUCUGGCAGAAUUGGGGUUCACUGCCUCUGCUACGACGGCUUAGGCGAUGGUCCGUUGGCCUAAGCCAUUGCAGCGGAGGCGGUGAGACCACCUGCCAUGGCAGCAGAGGCAGGUGGUCUCACUGCCUCCGCUGCGAUGGCUUGGACGACGAUCGUUGCUAGCCCGACGGUCCGUCGACCCUCACCGUCGCACCUGGACAGUUUUGACUGCUUUAUGUAAAACGAUCAUAAUUUUUUACCCCGAUACUGAAUUUGGACGAAAUUGGUACCGCUGGAAAGCUAAUUCAAUUUUUCACAUGAAAAAAGUGAAAAUCUUUAAAAUAUCACAUGUAUAAAAGUGGAUUUAUCUUUCAAAGUAAGUUUCUAACAUUCUUAAGACGAUUUCAAGCUAGGUAGAAGUAUGGGGUAUUACAAUCAGGCCUCUAGUUUUUCUACUCAUCCAGUUUCUACUUUUGGGAAACAUGUUGUAGUUGAACUUAUAGUUAUUCUCAAACUGCUGCCAUUCCUGCCUGGCAGGAUGUUGUGAGAUUGAAAUUUGAGGCUUUGGAUACUAAUGGUACUUGGUUCUUUGUCCCUCUUUCUUUUGGUAAAAAGCCUAUUGGUUGUAAGUGGGUGUACAAAAUUAAGUACAGAGCUGAUGGCAGUAUAGUGAGAUAAAAAGCCAGACUGGUAGUUAGAGGUGAUACCCGAGUUGAGGUUAUUGAUUUCCAUGGGAUAUUUUCCCCUAUUAUGGAAAUGUCCACUGUCAAAACCUUGGUGGCUGUUGCUAUGAAAAAGAAAUGGCCGAUGUUCCAAUUGGAUGUUAAUAAUGCCUUUUUGUUUGGGAACCUUGAUGAGGAGGUCUACAUGAAGCUCCCACCUGGGUUAUCUGUUGAAUCUGGUCGUGGUAAUAUUCUUUUGGUUUGCAAGUUGUAAAAAUCUCUUUAUAGAUUACGACAAGCCUCAAGGCAGUGGUAUGGCAAGCUCUCUCAUGCUCUUUAUUCUAGAGGCUAUACACAUUCUCUCAAUGAUUAUUAACUGUUUAAAAAGGGUUCUGGUUCCUCUCUUGUUAUCCUUGUAAUUUAUGUGGAUGAUAUCAUCUUAACUGGCUGUGAUCUCACUAAAAUUAUUGCUCUUAAAUCAUUUCUUCACUCAUCUUUUCGUAUCAAGGAUUUGGGUACACUCAAUUAUUUUUUGGGGUUUGAGGUUUUCUAUAUCGAUUCUGGGGUUUUGCUUUACCAACGGAAGUUCAUCCAUGAUUUAUUGGUUUCUUAUAACAGUUUGGUUUGUUCUCCUGUGGUGUGUCCUCUUGAGCUUAACACUAAGCUCAAGGCUGGAGUUGGGCCUCCUUUUCCUAAUCCUGAAGAAUACAAGUGUUUGAUUGGGAAGUUUAACUUCCUUACCCAUACAUGACCUGAUAUAUCCUUUGUGGUACAAUAUCUUAGUCAGUUUAUGCAGACUCCUUGUAUGCCUCAUAUGUCUGCUACAUUGUAUCUUCUUCGGUAUCUCAAGGGGACCUCAGAUUCUGGCCUUUUUCUCUCAUCUGCACCUGAUCUAUCAUUUGCUGCCUAUUGUGAUAGUGAUAGGGGUACUUGUGCUGAUAGUCGCAGGUCUGUGUCUGGCUAUUGCAUCUUACUGGAUGAUAGUCUCAUUGGAUGGAAAUCCAAGAAGCAAGUUGCUGUCUCCCUCUCUUCUGCCGAGGCUGAGUACAGGGCCAUGAGUAAAGCUGUUGCGGUGAUUACUUGGCUCAUUCGUCUUCUUUCUGAUUUUGGUGUUUCUGAUCUCACUCUUGUUCCCUUAUUUUGUGACAAUCAGACUACCAUUCACAUAGCCAAGAACCCUGUCUUCCAUGAGCGGACCAAGCAUAUUGAGCUUGACUUCUAUUUUGUACGUACCAAGUUGGCUGAUGGUUUAAUCUCUCUUUCUCAUACUUCCAGCUUCUCCCAGCUUGCUGAUGUCUUCACCAAGUGCUUGACUGGAGUUCAACAUCAUGCACAUUUACUCAAGUUGCGAGUUGUGUCCCCCUCCAACUUGCGGGUUGGAGGUGGGGGGUGGGUGUUGGAGACUGAUUUUAUUUGUUGAUUUGGGUCACUGGACAGAUUUCAUUUCUAUUGAUAUAUUGGGCUUGGCCCGUUUAUUUUAUUGUCCAUUUUAUUAUGACCCGGUCCAUAUUACAAUGCAUAUACAUAUAGGGAGAGAUAUUUUACAGAACAUAAUUCAUUUUCCCUCUUUUCCAAUAAUAAGAAAAGCUCCUGCUUCUCUCUUCUUUCUCUCUCUAGAAUGUUCUACUAAUUUAUGCUGUUCUCGGUCGUUUUCUUCGAUCUCCAUCUUCUCCGUUGAAUGUUAACCACCCUAACAAUAAGAUAAAACUUCUAGAUAUCUUUUGUGCAACUGUAAUUGAUCAAAUACUACUGUUUUUUCCAAGUUCAUAUGAAAUAUUGUACACAACUGCCUAAUUAAUUGGGAGUGAAGCUGAGUAAAUUGGUGGUUACUCCAUACGCGUUAAUGAACAUGGAUAUGGCGCUUUGAGUAGAGGCGCAGAAUUUACGUACCAAAUACUAACUCGACAGGGCAUGUAUGAGGACGGGACAAUUUAGAUCGUGAAAAAAUAGGUACCAACUGGUACGAAGUUUAUAAUUAUUGAUUUUUUUCAAUACAAAAAAGAAUUACAUCGUAACUUCGAUGCAAUAAAAUAAAAAUUAAGUAACUAUUUACUAUAAAAUGACACCAAUUUUCUUUACAAAAUAAUAGUUUUGAAUUUUCCUAGUUGUGGGUACUAUUUAUUACUAAUAGCUUUUGUUGGGGGUGGGGGAUUUAGCUUUCUUUUGAAAACAAGUUAGUAUAUGUACAUUGCUCCGUUUUAUCAUUUACAUGCAAUUCUGUCAAUUACAAUUUACCUUCCAGUAUAUUUUACUCUCACGAGCCUAGGGAUUGAGUGCAGACUGUAGUUGCUUCACCAUUAAUCAUAAAAUCUUGACAUACAUUGAUCAUUACUUAAGAGUGUAGUAUUCUUGCUUGUGGCCAUUGAUCACAUAUACUUAUUUUCUAAAAUAGUAUACUUACACAUAAUAUUAUCUCAACCACAAUGUUUUGAUCUUUCUGGCUUAGCGUGCGCACAAACGAAUGUAGUCAAUUGCAACAGUGAUGUCAAUUGCUUAAUUGACAGUAAAGUUAUUCCUCGGCCUUAUGUGUUGCAGCUAGCUCCAGUUAAUGAAAACGCCAACGCGUCUUCAAUUAGAGUCCCUUUUUCUCAUUUCUCUGCACCUUCAUAACAAGCUCACAAUGCCCUUUCAAGUAUAAAUAAUGCCCCUCUCUUCUCCUAAAUCCCAUUCAAACUAGUACUAAAACACUCAAUUCCCAUCAAAAUUUGAGCUUCUCUUUACUGUCUUCCUAACAAAAUAUCAAGAAAGAAAACAUUAUGUCUUCUUCUCUCAGUUGUAAAUCGACCUAUUUCAUUUUAUCAUUUUUUGUAUUGAUUUCUUUCAUCAAUGUGUGCUUUGCUUCAAGAAAGCUCACAGCUUUAGUCCAAGACCCACAAAUGCAGGAGUUUUUGAAGUACCACGAGGGUGCACUCUUUUCAGGCAAAAUUAAUGUUAAUCUGAUUUGGUAUGGAAAAUUCAAGCCAUCCCAAAGAGCUAUUGUAUCCGAUUUCAUCACUUCCCUUUCUACUUCAACUCCAUCUAAUGCCCAUCCUUCUGUUGCCCAAUGGUGGAAAACUACAGAAAAAUACUACCAUCUUGCCAAUUCUAAGAAGACCCUUUCCCUCUCUUUGGGCAAACAAGUGCUCCUAGAAAAUUAUUCCCUAG